This is a long non-coding RNA of Phyllopteryx taeniolatus (common seadragon), 414 nucleotides long. RefSeq lists it as uncharacterized. The record is from RefSeq and is a predicted model, not a curated record. The transcript is spliced from 3 exons. NCBI's taxonomy places the organism in Eukaryota, Metazoa, Chordata, Actinopteri, Syngnathiformes, Syngnathidae.
GUUUGGAGUCCUUCUUCAGGCCAGAGGAGGCCAGCGAUGACGCGUGCUCCUUCAGGUCCAGCAGAGACGUCUGAGCACACGAAGCAAAGCGUUUCCACCUGAUUCAACCGGCACAGCAACCAUGACGACUCAUAAAGAAGUCUCCCUGCAGUAAGGUCAACCGCUCCUUCAGCUCCUUCAGCUCCUUCUUGGUGCACUCCAGCUCCUCCGUCUUCUCUCGGUCGUCUCGGUCUCGCUGCUCCUUCAGUCGUUCGAUGAUGCGCUCCUACAACAAACGCAAGAGACUCCUCCAGCGUUGUGAGAGCAGUGUCCGUGUUGGAAGUGUCGGCCUGCAAAGACUUCACUCUCUCCUUCAGGCUGCUCAUCUGCUUCUCCUUGUCCCUAAGCUGCUCCUGCAGGUUCUCAAUCUUCAGA